Ipomoea triloba (trilobed morning glory) is the source of this 1727-nucleotide long non-coding RNA. RefSeq lists it as uncharacterized. The record is from RefSeq and is a predicted model, not a curated record. NCBI's taxonomy places the organism in Eukaryota, Viridiplantae, Streptophyta, Magnoliopsida, Solanales, Convolvulaceae. The transcript has 2 exons.
UUUAGAAGUUAGCCAAAACGGUUCCUUCACUAGUGACAGCGUGUUGGAAUCUAGAGGUUAGUUUAGGCUACCUCCUCACAACUUGUAGGAUUAACUUGGGUUUGGGCAUGUUGAUUUGCUUAGGAUCUUUAAAACGGCCUCGCUUGUAGAUUACAAGAGUAGAUAACUUGCGGUUUGGUACACUCGGGUAGAUCACGAGAGUGGCACCGGGGACUUUAGUGCAUUUCCUCCAUUCACAAGGGAUAAAACUUCUUUUCUACAUUUGUUUGACUCAUGAUAGACAUUUACCCAAUCCAUAUCCUUACCUAUGUUGCAUCUUAUAUAUCUCUCUUCAUUUGUUGCUUUUAUUUUUGUUAUUUACUUUUGUUGUCUUAAUCCCGUUAUUAUCGAACUAGCUUCACAAGAAUCAAUCCGAGUUAGUGCUUGACCAACCAUUCCCUAUGGAUCGAUAACCCCGGAAUACUCCGGGUAUUUGCGUGUACCUAAAAGCUACAAUCAGCGGUGGCGAGGUUUCCUCUUCUUCGUCGAUUAAGAUGACAGCAACGUGCCGGAGCACGUGCCUGGCGAGCAUGCAACAGCUUUCAUCUCUAACGACGUGACCGGCGGCGAGAGUUAGAUGAUAACAGAAUACACCUCGAGAAAAUUAAUUCAUGGGUGAUUCCUUGCGUCUCCGUAGUGGUUUCUUUUCCUUCAUAUGCGAAGGCGACGGGUCGACGACGACGAUGUGCCAGAGCAACACCCUAAGGCAACCAUAUGGCGAUGGCAGUUCGUGAGAUAACGGCAACAUGCCGGAGCAUGUGCCAGGCGACGCUUUGACGGAUUUUGUCUUCGACGAUGGUGGCCGGCGGCGUGAAAUCCGACAAUGGAGGACAACGACUCGAGAAAAUUAAUUCCCAAGUGUUCCGUUCCAAAGUCUUCGCGUGUCUCUCAUUGUCUCGUUGAUAUGCUCCAAUGAUAGUGAAGGCUCAACAAUUGUGAAAAAGAUUUCUGGAAAAAUCAAUUUCCAAAAAGCUUUUGGUCCACUGUGAGUAACAGCAACGACAAGGAAGAACCAAACAAUGGUAGAAACAUUCUGGAAAAGAAUUAAUCAGUUUCCAAGAAGUUCUAGUCCAGUGUUUAUGAAGAGGGCGAGCCAAGCAGUGGCGGAAGGCAACCCAAUAAAUUAAUUCGGGGGAAGCUCCGGUCCAAUGUUUGUGAAGAUGGCAAGCUCAAGCAAUGGUGAAAUACACCUCAGAAAAUCAAAUUUUCGGGUGUUUUCUACCCAAUGCUUCGCGUAUCUUGUUCUUCUUCUUUCCUGUAAAAGAAAUCAAGAAAAUAGUAUAUUGCAAGAAUUUAAAUUACCUCAGAAGGUCGAAGGUCGAGUGCAAGGACUCUGUUUCUUGGUUUGAAGAAAAGGAAUUAUUGAGGCCUAUUUAUACUUGUGAAAUGCUGGAGUUUGAAUGGGUUUAGAACUCAGAAUACGCUGUUUAUCCUUAUCAAAUUGUUGCACCAAUUCUUAUCAAUUUCAGAGUAUGUGGUUGAAUGUGUGAUAAAACUCCAAUUCCAGUUGAAGUUCUAAAACUGAUUUGUCAUUUGCGAGUGUGAGCUGCUGGCGAAUUCGUAGGAGGAAAUCAUGGGAGAUUUUCGUACAUGUGCUGAGAGUCCACAUUCUGGAAAAGAAAUUUUUAUUGUAGCUAAAAUUAAGUUGAAUUUUUUGACUCAAAUUAAAACAAACAAGGUAGGCUUUU